CGGCGCAUUAGCUAGUUGGUGAGGUAACGGCUCACCAAGGCAACGAUGCGUAGCCGACCUGAGAGGGUGAUCGGCCACACUGGGACUGAGACACGGCCCAGACUCCUACGGGAGGCAGCAGUAGGGAAUCUUCCGCAAUGGACGAAAGUCUGACGGAGCAACGCCGCGUGAGCGAUGAAGGCCUUCGGGUCGUAAAGCUCUGUUGUCAGGGAAGAACAAGUAUCGGAGUAACUGCCGGUACCUUGACGGUACCUGACCAGAAAGCCACGGCUAACUACGUGCCAGCAGCCGCGGUAAUACGUAGGUGGCAAGCGUUGUCCGGAAUUAUUGGGCGUAAAGCGCGCGCAGGCGGUUCCUUAAGUCUGAUGUGAAAGCCCCCGGCUCAACCGGGGAGGGUCAUUGGAAACUGGGGAACUUGAGUGCAGAAGAGGAGAGCGGAAUUCCACGUGUAGCGGUGAAAUGCGUAGAGAUGUGGAGGAACACCAGUGGCGAAGGCGGCUCUCUGGUCUGUAACUGACGCUGAGGCGCGAAAGCGUGGGGAGCGAACAGGAUUAGAUACCCUGGUAGUCCACGCCGUAAACGAUGAGUGCUAAGUGUUAGAGGGUUUCCGCCCUUUAGUGCUGCAGCAAACGCAUUAAGCACUCCGCCUGGGGAGUACGGCCGCAAGGCUGAAACUCAAAGGAAUUGACGGGGGCCCGCACAAGCGGUGGAGCAUGUGGUUUAAUUCGAAGCAACGCGAAGAACCUUACCAGGUCUUGACAUCCUCUGACAACCCUAGAGAUAGGGCUUUCCCCUUCGGGGGACAGAGUGACAGGUGGUGCAUGGUUGUCGUCAGCUCGUGUCGUGAGAUGUUGGGUUAAGUCCCGCAACGAGCGCAACCCUUGAUCUUAGUUGCCAGCAUUAAGUUGGGCACUCUAAGGUGACUGCCGGUGACAAACCGGAGGAAGGUGGGGAUGACGUCAAAUCAUCAUGCCCCUUAUGACCUGGGCUACACACGUGCUACAAUGGAUGGAACAAAGGGCAGCGAAGCCGCGAGGUGAAGCCAAUCCCAUAAAACCAUUCUCAGUUCGGAUUGCAGGCUGCAACUCGCCUGCAUGAAGCCGGAAUCGCUAGUAAUCGCGGAUCAGCAUGCCGCGGUGAAUACGUU
Molecule: ribosomal RNA, 1147 nt
Filed under: uncultured Bacillus sp.
Lineage: Bacteria; Bacillati; Bacillota; Bacilli; Caryophanales; Bacillaceae
Description: bacterial SSU rRNA
Rfam family: Bacterial small subunit ribosomal RNA
Source: RNAcentral